This 468-nucleotide ribosomal RNA is filed under the name uncultured bacterium. Its description in RNAcentral is "partial 16S ribosomal RNA". It matches the Rfam family "Bacterial small subunit ribosomal RNA", at positions 28 to 507 of the family's 1533-position model. The record is from RNAcentral.
GACGAACGCUGGCGGCGUGCUUAACACAUGCAAGUCGAACGGAAAGGCCCUGCUUUUGUGGGGUGCUCGAGUGGCGAACGGGUGCGUAACACGUGAGUAACCUGCCCUUGACUUUGGGAUAACUUCAGGAAACUGGGGCUAAUACCGGAUAGGAGCUCCUGCUGCAUGGUGGGGGUUGGAAAGUUUCGGCGGUUGGGGAUGGACCCGCGGCUUAUCAGCUUGUUGGUGGGGUAGUGGCUUACCAAGGCUUUGACGGGUAGCCGGCCUGAGAGGGUGACCGGCCACAUUGGGACUGAGAUACGGCCCAGACUCCUACGGGAGGCAGCAGUGGGGAAUAUUGCACAAUGGGCGGAAGCCUGAUGCAGCAACGCCGCGUGCGGGAUGACGGCCUUCGGGUUGUAAACCGCUUUCGCCUGUGACGAAGCGUGAGUGACGGUAAUGGGUAAAGAAGCACCAGCUAACUACGUG